Molecule: ribosomal RNA, 253 nt
Filed under: uncultured bacterium
Lineage: Bacteria
Description: partial 16S ribosomal RNA
Rfam family: Bacterial small subunit ribosomal RNA
Source: RNAcentral
UACAGAGGUCCCAAGCGUUGUUCGGAUUCAUUGGGCGUAAAGGGUGCGUAGGCGGCGCGGUAAGUCGGGUGUGAAAUCUCGGAGCUUAACUCCGAAACUGCAUUCGAUACUGCCGUGCUUGAGGACUGGAGAGGAGACUGGAAUUCAUGGUGUAGCAGUGAAAUGCGUAGAGAUCAUGAGGAAGACCAGUGGCGAAGGCGGGUCUCUGGACAGUUCCUGACACUGAGACACGAAGGCCAGGGGAGCAAACGGG